Molecule: ribosomal RNA, 268 nt
Filed under: uncultured Sphingomonadales bacterium
Lineage: Bacteria; Pseudomonadati; Pseudomonadota; Alphaproteobacteria; Sphingomonadales
Description: partial 16S ribosomal RNA
Rfam family: Bacterial small subunit ribosomal RNA
Source: RNAcentral
UAGUGAGUUUGAUCCUGGCUCAGAACGAACGCUGGCGGCAUGCUUAACACAUGCAAGUCGAACGAGACCUUCGGGUCUAGUGGCGCACGGGUGCGUAACGCGUGGGAAUCUGCCCUUAGGUACGGAAUAACUCAGAGAAAUUUGUGCUAAUACCGUAUGAUGUCGAAAACGACCAAAGUAUUUAUCGUCCUUUGGAGUCGGGCCCGCGUAGGAUUAGCUAGUUGGAGAGGUAACGGCUCACCGAGGCAUCGAUCAGUAGCUGGUCUGA